GAAUAUUGGACAAUGGGCGCAAGCCUGAUCCAGCAAUACCGCGUGUGUGAAGAAGGCCUGAGGGUUGUAAAGCACUUUCAAUUGGGAGGAAAACCUGCCGGUCAAUACCCGGCGGCUUGACAUUACCUUUAGAAGAAGCACCGGCUAACUCCGUGCCAGCAGCCGCGGUAAUACGGAGGGUGCGAGCGUUAAUCGGAAUUACUGGGCGUAAAGCGUGCGUAGGCGGUUAUUUAAGUCAGAUGUGAAAGCCCCAGGCUUGACCUGGGAACUGCAUUUGAUACUGGGUAACUAGAGUUUAGUAGAGGAGAGUGGAAUUUCAGGUGUAGCGGUGAAAUGCGUAGAGAUCUGAAGGAACACCCAGU
Molecule: ribosomal RNA, 362 nt
Filed under: uncultured Methylobacter sp.
Lineage: Bacteria; Pseudomonadati; Pseudomonadota; Gammaproteobacteria; Methylococcales; Methylococcaceae
Description: bacterial SSU rRNA
Rfam family: Bacterial small subunit ribosomal RNA
Source: RNAcentral